Molecule: long non-coding RNA, 308 nt
Filed under: Ananas comosus (pineapple)
Lineage: Eukaryota; Viridiplantae; Streptophyta; Magnoliopsida; Poales; Bromeliaceae
Description: long non-coding RNA (ACOM_LNC020322)
Source: RNAcentral
UAAAACUUAUUUGAAGUACAUAUCAUUUUGUCAAUGUUUUAAAAUUCGACUUACCAUUCAACAUUUCAAUUUAUUUGAUUCGAAUUAGUCAACGACAAUAUGCUUAGUUAGAAUAUUUCAUACAGUUCUUAUAAUUAUGAAUUCAUUAAAAUAAGCAAUUCGCUCAUAUUUUGCAACCAAAGUAUCAUUGGCUGAUCGAAUAAAAUAAAUUGAAAAAAUAAAUUAUAUAAUUAAAAUUUUGAAAUAUUAUAGUCAACUGAAAAUGAUCCAUAAUUCAAUUAAAUUUUAUAUGUUUUUACCUUGAAAUU